UUCUUACCUCUUGGGCGCCUUUGGGGCCUUGGGCUGUGUUUGGCUGAACAUCCGGCAGAAAUCAUUGCUGCACUGAAAAGUCAGAGAGCACGGGGAAAGUGAGGAGGCCGACGCUUCAAUCAACAAUAGCAUCGCAUUCCAUCUCAAAACUCAUACCAGGUAAGCAUUGAUUCAGCAUUUUCGACAAUCGAACCAAAUGCUUCGUUUAAUUUCCGUUAAGCUGCCCCAACAAUUAAGGCGCAGAGCUUCACCAAUCUGCCAUGGCCACUUAUACUCAACCUCCUCUCUCAAGCCCAUCUCAGACCCCCCUAAUUCCACGGACCCAAAAUCUCUUACAGUUUCCUUCCUCCGAAACUCGUGUGGGUUGUCCUUAGAAUUGGCCACUUCAGCUUCCAAGAAGCUCAACAUUGAGAACGUAGAGAAUCCCAAAUCCGUUCUGAAUCUGUUGAGAACUCACGGUUUGACGCAGAACCACAUCAUACGCUUAAUUAGUAGUCGUCCAUUAUUGCUUUCGGCCGAUUUAGGCAAUACCCUUAAGAACAUGGAGUUGUUUAAAUCCUUAGGGUUCUCUGGCGCUAACCUCGCCAAAAUGCUCAGCAAAUACCCAAAUGUGCUAGAAAGUGAUGCAUACACUGCUGUUGAGUUUUUUAGAGCACAUGGCUUUGGUGAUAAGCAAAUAAAAACUUUGACUAUGACGUGUCCUGAACUUUAUGUGUAUAAUGCACAAAAGAUUCUUCAGCCAAAGUUGGAGUUUUUCAAAUCGUUAGGUUUUUCAGAUCUUGAAAUUACAAAGCUUUUAUCCGUAGAGCCGUAUAUUCUAAAAAGGAGCCUCGAAAAACAAAUCAUUCCGUGUAUUCAAGAGCUUAGGCGGUUUCUUGGAACUGACGAGAAUGUCUUAAAGGCUAUAAGGAGAUGUUACGGAGUACUUAGAACAGACGUGGUGCAUAUAUUACAGCCCAACAUCAAUAAGUUGAUAAGCCAUGGUGUUCCCCAGUCAUUAGUUUUGAAACUCUUCUUUAUAAGACCUUUGUCACUGCGUACCUGUGGCAAUCGGUUUAGUGAGAUUGUUAAUGAAGUUAUGAAAUUGGGUUUUGAUCCCAAUUGUCUGAAAUUUGUUCUAGCCAUCCUGUCCAUGUCACUAAAUAGUAAAACGCUGUGGGAGCAGAAGUUGGAAGCUUUUAGAAAUUUUGGUUUGUCAGACGAUGAGAUUUGUUCAGCAUUCAAGCGGCAACCCUUGUGUAUGGCUAUUUCGGAGAAGAAGAUCAAGAAAAUGAUGGGUUUCUUUGUGAACAAACUGAAGAUGAAGCCUUCUAUGAUCUCCAAGAGUCCGAUUCUUCUACUACAUAGCUUGGAGAAGCGGAUUAUUCCGAGGUGUUCAGUUCUGCAAGUUUUGAUGUUGAAGGGGUUGAUCAAGGAGGAUAUUGCCAUCCCUUAUAUGGUUUCAAUGGCCGAGAAGGAAUUCAUGGUAAAAUUUGUGAGCAAGUAUCAAAAUGAGGUUCCUGAUGUUGUUAGCGCGCACCAAGGGAAGAUAGAAUUUCAAGGGCUCCCUAUAGCCUUGAAGAUGUGAGUACUUUUGACAUAAUCAAAUGCGGCAUUGGCUAAAGAUCAUGAGUUCAGUUUUAGUUCAACAUGUUUGCAGUUGGGUAAAUUACUUUCUGGAGGUGUCUCAGAAACUUUAUAUGUGCAGGAUGAUGCUUCCAUAUCGUGGAGAAAAAGGAAGAAGCACUUUUUACCGGAAACUGCACAGUUUUCAUGCCAAUGCACAUUUUUGUAUGGACUCUCUCAUAUUGACUUCCAGAUACGGAGACGAACACAAGCUAGCAGGAUUUUCUUAUUUUGCUGGUUUAUGAUGGGUUGAAAUGUUUGAUUGUGCAGAUUUUGUGACGGAGUUAGUCUACAUACAGACCUCAUUUCCAAAUGGAGAUUACUUAUGCAAGCUCAUACAAUUAUAUUUAAACAAAUUUUAAAAUUACAAUAAUAUUAUUUUUUAAAUCAU
This is an RNA transcript of Juglans regia (Persian walnut), 1996 nucleotides long. RefSeq lists it as uncharacterized. The transcript is spliced from 2 exons. Lineage: Eukaryota; Viridiplantae; Streptophyta; Magnoliopsida; Fagales; Juglandaceae. The record is from RefSeq and is a predicted model, not a curated record.